GUGGGGAAUAUUGGACAAUGGGCGAAAGCCUGAUCCAGCCAUGCCGCGUGUGUGAAGAAGGUCUUCGGAUUGUAAAGCACUUUAAGUUGGGAGGAAGGGUAGUAACCUAAUACGUUGCUACUUUGACGUUACCGACAGAAUAAGCACCGGCUAACUUCGUGCCAGCAGCCGCGGUAAUACGAAGGGUGCAAGCGUUAAUCGUAAUUACUGGGCGUAAAGCGCGCGUAGGUGGUUCAGUAAGUUGGAAGUGAAAUCCCCGGGCUCAACCUGGUAACUGCUUUCAAAACUGCUGAGCUAGAGUACGGUAGAGGGUGGUGGAAUUUCCUGUGUAGCGGUGAAAUGCGUAGAUAUAGGAAGGAACACCAGUGGCGAAGGCGACCACCUGGACUGAUACUGACACUGAGGUGCGAAAGCGUGGGGAGCAAACAGGAUUAGAAACCCCAGUAGUCC
Molecule: ribosomal RNA, 450 nt
Filed under: uncultured bacterium
Lineage: Bacteria
Description: partial 16S ribosomal RNA
Rfam family: Bacterial small subunit ribosomal RNA
Source: RNAcentral